CCUACGGGAGGCAGCAGUAAGGAAUAUUGGUCAAUGGACGCAAGUCUGAACCAGCCAUGCCGCGUGAAGGAUUAAGGCCCUCUGGGUUGUAAACUUCUUUUAUAGGGGACGAAAAAAGGGCAUUCUUGCUCACUUGACGGUACCCUAGGAAUAAGCACCGGCUAACUCCGUGCCAGCAGCCGCGGUAAUACGGAGGGUGCAAGCGUUAUCCGGAUUUACUGGGUUUAAAGGGUGCGUAGGUGGGUUGGUAAGUCAGUGGUGAAAUCUUCGAGCUUAACUCGGAAACUGCCAUUGAUACUAUCAAUCUUGAAUCAUCUAGAGGUAAGCGGAAUAUGUCAUGUAGCGGUGAAAUGCUUAGAUAUGACAUAGAACACCAAUUGCGAAGGCAGCUUACUAUGGAUGUAUUGACACUGAGGCACGAAAGCGUGGGGAUCAAACAGGAUUAGAUACCCUGGUAGUCCACGCCCUAAACGAUGGAUACUCGACAUUUGUGAUAUACUAUAAGUGUCUGAGCGAAAGCAUUAAGUAUCCCACCUGGGAAGUACGACCGCAAGGUUGAAACUCAAAUGAAAUUGACGG
This 579-nucleotide ribosomal RNA is filed under the name uncultured bacterium. Its description in RNAcentral is "bacterial SSU rRNA". It matches the Rfam family "Bacterial small subunit ribosomal RNA", at positions 338 to 916 of the family's 1533-position model. The record is from RNAcentral.